This 253-nucleotide ribosomal RNA is filed under the name uncultured bacterium. Its description in RNAcentral is "partial 16S ribosomal RNA". It matches the Rfam family "Bacterial small subunit ribosomal RNA", at positions 524 to 776 of the family's 1533-position model. The record is from RNAcentral.
UACGUAGGGUGCAAGCGUUGUCCGGAAUUAUUGGGCGUAAAGAGCUCGUAGGCGGUUUGUCGCGUCUGCUGUGAAAACUCGGGGCUUAACUCCGGGCCUGCAGUGGGUACGGGCAGACUAGAGUGCGGUAGGGGAGACUGGAAUUCCUGGUGUAGCGGUGAAAUGCGCAGAUAUCAGGAGGAACACCGGUGGCGAAGGCGGUCAACUGGCCCUGAACUGACGCUCAGGCACGAAAGCGUGGGGAUCAAACAGG